UGACAACAUAUUUAUAGUAUGCUAAGUGGC
Molecule: non-coding RNA, 30 nt
Filed under: Rattus norvegicus (Norway rat)
Lineage: Eukaryota; Metazoa; Chordata; Mammalia; Rodentia; Muridae
Source: RNAcentral